This 500-nucleotide ribosomal RNA is filed under the name uncultured Proteiniphilum sp. Its description in RNAcentral is "bacterial SSU rRNA". It matches the Rfam family "Bacterial small subunit ribosomal RNA", at positions 880 to 1382 of the family's 1533-position model. Lineage: Bacteria; Pseudomonadati; Bacteroidota; Bacteroidia; Bacteroidales; Dysgonomonadaceae. The record is from RNAcentral.
UUGCCAGCCCGCUCAGAAACUCAAAGGAAUUGACGGGGCCCGCACAAGCGGAGGAACAUGUGGUUUAAUUCGAUGAUACGCGAGGAACCUUACCCGGGCUUGAAAUGCAUCUGGCGUCCCGAGAGAUCGGGAUUUCCCACGGGACAGAUGCGUAGGUGCUGCAUGGUUGUCGUCAGCUCGUGCCGUGAGGUGUCGGCUUAAGUGCCAUAACGAGCGCAACCCCUACCGUUAGUUGCCAUCAGGUCAAGCUGGGGACUCUAACGGGACUGCCAUCGUAAGGUGCGAGGAAGGUGGGGAUGACGUCAAAUCAGCACGGCCCUUACGUCCGGGGCGACACACGUGUUACAAUGGGUGGUACAAAGGGCAGCUACAUGGCGACAUGGUGCCAAUCUCCAAAACCACUCUCAGUUCGGAUCGGAGUCUGCAACUCGACUCCGUGAAGCUGGAUUCGCUAGUAAUCGCGCAUCAGCCACGGCGCGGUGAAUACGUUCCCGGGCCUU